This 468-nucleotide ribosomal RNA is filed under the name uncultured bacterium. RNAcentral describes it as "partial 16S ribosomal RNA". It matches the Rfam family "Bacterial small subunit ribosomal RNA", at positions 28 to 507 of the family's 1533-position model. The record is from RNAcentral.
GACGAACGCUGGCGGCGUGCUUAACACAUGCAAGUCGAACGGAAAGGCCCUGCUUUUGUGGGGUGCUCGAGUGGCGAACGGGUGAGUAACACGUGAGUAACCUGCCCUUGACUUUGGGAUAACUUCAGGAAACUGGGGCUAAUACCGGAUAGGAGCUCCUGCUGCAUGGUGGGGGUUGGACAGUUUCGGCGGUUGGGGAUGGACUCGCGGCUUAUCAGCUUGUUGGUGGGGUAGUGGCUUACCAAGGAUUUGACGGGUAGCCGGCCUGAGGGGGUGACCGGCCACAUUGGGACUGAGAUACGGCCCAGACUCCUACGGGAGGCAGCAGUGGGGAAUAUUGCACAAUGGGCGGAAGCCUGAUGCAGCAACGCCGCGUGCGGGAUGACGGCCUUCGGGUUGUAAACCGCUUUCGCCUGUGACGAAGCGUGAGUGACGGUAAUGGGUAAAGAAGCACCGGCUAACUACGUG